ACGAAAAUAAAAAAAAUAAAUAAAAAAUCAACACAAACACAGCUUCACACAAACACGAACACUUUCCAUCGUCGUCUCUGUCUCCGGUCAACAUCGUCGUCUCUGUCUUCGGUCACCAUAGAAGGGACCCAAGCCCUAAAUGAUAACACACGGCUCAUAAAUAAACCCUAAAUCCAGAGACAACAAUUCCUAUAAAGAAGCGAUCCUUUGUCUGAUCGAUUGAUUUACUUGAGAAUCCGGCAAUUGACGAUGUUGUUGUGUUAUCGGUUGUGCUGCAAGAGGUCAAGAACAAGAAUCUUUUGGUUUAUAACAAAGUUAGAGCCCUGUGCAGCAAUUCUUCGAGGAAGUUCUUUAUUUUCGUUAACGAACAUCACAGGGAUACAUAUGUGAAGGCAAUGGUUGGUGAAAGUCUAAAUGAUCGGAACGAUAGAGCAAUUCGAGUGGCAACUCAGUGGUAUCAUAAUCAUCUUGGUGGUGCAACACGGGUCUUAUUAAUCACAAAUGACAGAGAAAAUAAGAGGAAAGCCACUGAAGAGGGAAUUUCUGCAGAGACAGAUUUUGAAAGAUGAAGCUACAAGGGAGCAGUAUAAUUAUGCAAUUGUGCAUCCAGAUGAGUUUCAACAUGAUAAGAGGAAUAGAGAGGCUUGAUCGGUGGGAUCACGGGAGAAAUGGAGAGGUGCAGAGAUAGAGAGAAAAAGAAUGAGACAAGCAUGGAAGGUGUCUACACAAUUAAUGAGGUGGUAUUCCAUGCAUUUGAGGGAACAAUAAUGAGACAAGCAUGGAAGUUUCACAUUGAUUGCAAUCUGGCUCCCCUUUUGGAUUCGGAUCUUAGAUUUUUUUUUGAAAUUUUGAUAUGUGAAUAUGAUUAGUUGUGUAAUAUUGGAUUUGGAUAUUAGCAUUUUGAUAUGUGCUGGAAUUAUCAUUUUAAUUUUGGAUGAUUUGCACAUUUUAAUAUCUAAAUUCUUAAUGGAAUGUGUUUUAUAUUC
Molecule: long non-coding RNA, 986 nt
Organism: Cornus florida
Lineage: Eukaryota; Viridiplantae; Streptophyta; Magnoliopsida; Cornales; Cornaceae
Exons: 8
Source: RefSeq, a predicted model, not a curated record